UUUAUGGAGAGUUUGAUCCUGGCUCAGGAUGAACGCUGGCGGCGUGCCUAAUACAUGCAAGUCGAGCGAACGGACGAGAAGCUUGCUUCUCUGAUGUUAGCGGCGGACGGGUGAGUAACACGUGGAUAACCUACCUAUAAGACUGGGAUAACUUCGGGAAACCGGAGCUAAUACCGGAUAAUAUUUUAAACCGCAUGGUUCAAAAGUGAAAGACGGUCUUGCUGUCACUUAUAGAUGGAUCCGCGCUGCAUUAGCUAGUUGGUAAGGUAACGGCUUACCAAGGCAACGAUGCAUAGCCGACCUGAGAGGGUGAUCGGCCACACUGGAACUGAGACACGGUCCAGACUCCUACGGGAGGCAGCAGUAGGGAAUCUUCCGCAAUGGGCGAAAGCCUGACGGAGCAACGCCGCGUGAGUGAUGAAGGUCUUCGGAUCGUAAAACUCUGUUAUUAGGGAAGAACAUAUGUGUAAGUAACUGUGCACAUCUUGACGGUACCUAAUCAGAAAGCCACGGCUAACUACGUGCCAGCAGCCGCGGUAAUACGUAGGUGGCAAGCGUUAUCCGGAAUUA
Molecule: ribosomal RNA, 570 nt
Filed under: Staphylococcus aureus
Lineage: Bacteria; Bacillati; Bacillota; Bacilli; Caryophanales; Staphylococcaceae
Description: bacterial SSU rRNA
Rfam family: Bacterial small subunit ribosomal RNA
Source: RNAcentral